Molecule: long non-coding RNA, 271 nt
Filed under: Elaeis guineensis (African oil palm)
Lineage: Eukaryota; Viridiplantae; Streptophyta; Magnoliopsida; Arecales; Arecaceae
Description: long non-coding RNA (EGUI_LNC082712)
Source: RNAcentral
UUCUUUCCUUUAUCUUUUUCACUCAAAUUGAAACCAGCAUCAGUAUCGGUUCUGGGCUUAGAUUCUUCUAUUGGGUUAGUCUCAGUACUAACUUCUUCUUCUAAAUUCAUAUUUUGGCUAGCAUCAGUACUAGCCUCUCUCAUCUGGUCUUGGUAUGGAUCUUUAAGAAUCCUACCACUUUUAAGCUCAAAAAUUAUUUUGUCAUUUUUAAAUUGAGGACUCUUAGGUGGGACAUUAGAUUGAUGACUAGGUCUAGGUGGUUGGUGGGUGG